CUGAAAAAAAGUAAUCUGAGAUAAUUGAUAUUCAAUCAGGAUGAAGGCGGAUCGCUGUCCUGAAAGGCUUAAGCAUAUAGCACUCAAGAUGUGACUUUAUACAAUAUGAAAACUGAAAAUUCUUCAGGAUUCAAAAUAUAAUGAUAAUGAUAAUGAUUUUUAAGCUUAUAUGUUGUAGAAAAAAAAUUAAGGUUGGGAGGAAUGUUAUAUCCAAUACACGGCUGCCGAUUAGUGGCGUCUUGACUGGGGCCACCACCUGGUGGAUGAUGUGGUAAUGGGAACGAGUGUGAAAGAAGCACAUGGCGAGUGAGACCCACGGGACCUGGUCACAACAGGUGAUAUGUAUUUGACCCAAGGUGGAGCAGUGGUCAUUACCCACAGUCACCCAUCACCAUGCCAAAAAAACCUCCUUGCAGCUCCAGUCUCCAUACAGCAUGGUGUCUUCUAGGUGAACUGACUUUACCUGGCUGAAAAUGGAGGACAUGUAUUGUUAAUAUGAAAUAGACAGGAAAUAGAAGCUGCAGGAAUAUCCCUUCAUCUCACACAGUUGUGCAAGACACAGCAAGUUUCAGGAUGAAUGGGUUGUGAAGAGCCAGAGACAGGACAGCCAUGGUAAACAGGUAACUGGACUUCUUGCAGCUCACACACAUGGUUUGACAGUUGUUGUAAAUUGUGAAGCGUCUCAGUAGUGGCCUGCUUGAUGUGGUCAGAUUGUGUUGAAAUUUAUUGGACCCAAAGUGGAGCAGUGGUCAUUACUUCCCUGGGAUGACCCAUUGUCAUGACAGUAACUGGACUGCUUGCAGCUCCAGUCUCCAUACAGCAUGGUGUCUUCUAGGUGAACUGACUUUACCUGGCUGAACAUGGGGGGAAUGUAUUUUUUAUAAGACUGAAGCAGACAUGAAAAGACAGCAACAGGAACAUCUGCAUCUCACCCAGUUGUGCAAGGCAUGGGAUGUGGCAAGUUUUAGGAUGAAUGAACA
Lingula anatina is the source of this 980-nucleotide long non-coding RNA. The record is from RefSeq and is a predicted model, not a curated record. Lineage: Eukaryota; Metazoa; Brachiopoda; Lingulata; Lingulida; Lingulidae.